Ornithorhynchus anatinus (platypus) is the source of this 769-nucleotide long non-coding RNA. RefSeq lists it as uncharacterized. The transcript is spliced from 2 exons. The record is from RefSeq and is a predicted model, not a curated record. Lineage: Eukaryota; Metazoa; Chordata; Mammalia; Monotremata; Ornithorhynchidae.
GCCGGCAAGCGGCGGAGGCGGGAUCGGAACCCGGGUCCUCGGCCGCCCCGCCCCCGGGGUUUCGCCUCCCCGAGAUCGAUCUCGACGUCCGUCUCCCCCUCCCCCGGCUGGACCGUCAGCUCCUUCGGGGAGGGGGUGGUGUCCAGCGGCUCUCCCGAACUCUCCCGGGCACUUAGGCCGGUGCUCCGCGCAGAGUGAAACAUUGGAUGAGUAACAACCGCGACGUCCGGUAAGCAGUCGCGUCGGCCACCGGGCUGGGCGCCGGGGUAGAUCCGCGCCCACCCGGGGCCUGUCCCGCCCGGUCCCCGCCGUCCGUCCGACGCCCGUUUUCCAGACGAGGACGUCGAGGCCCGGGGAGAUGACCCGCCCGAGGUCACACGGUGGGCAAGUGGCAGCACCGGGGUCUCCGGACCCCCGGGCUCUUUCCGCUAGGCCCCGCCGCGUGGGAAGAGCCCGGACCCAAGAGUCAGAAGGCCCGAGUUCUAACUCCGGCCCCACCGCCGACCUGCCGCGGGGCCUCGGGCGGGUCACUCGGCUUCCUCCGGCCCUCUUCUCAUCUCAUCUAUAAAACGGGGCUCGAAUUCUCCUCCCUGCGCCACGUGGGACUCCGACGGGGGAACCGAGGCCCAGAGGAGCGAAGCGACUCGUCCGAGGUCGCACAGCGGCCGAGAGGCGGAGCCGGGAUUAGAACCCAGAACCGCGUUCUUUCCCGCUUCCCUGAGCGUGGUCUCUAUCGAUCUUAUGAUCUUAUAAAUCCGUAAGCGCGGCC